GGGCGUGGUAGCACCCCCUCCCAUAGUCCCAGCUACUCGGGCAGCCGAGGCGGGCAGAGCACUUGAGUCCAGGAGCGCUGCACGGUAGUGUGCUGUACUGACCAGCUGUCUACACUAAGUUCAGCAACACUAUGGUGACAUGGUGGGGCAGAGACCACCAGGUUGCCUAAGGAGGGGUGAACUGGACCAGGUCAGAAGCCGAGCAGGUCCAAACUCCCCUGCAGAUCAGUAGUGGGAUCAUGCCUGUGAACAGCCACAUCGCUCCAGCCUGGGCAAUAUAGCAUGAUCUCAUCCU
Unclassified non-coding RNA from Callithrix jacchus (white-tufted-ear marmoset), 295 nucleotides. It matches the Rfam family "Metazoan signal recognition particle RNA". From Rfam's summary of the family: The signal recognition particle (SRP) is a universally conserved ribonucleoprotein. It is involved in the co-translational targeting of proteins to membranes. The eukaryotic SRP consists of a 300-nucleotide 7S RNA and six proteins: SRPs 72, 68, 54, 19, 14, and 9. The record is from Ensembl. Lineage: Eukaryota; Metazoa; Chordata; Mammalia; Primates; Cebidae.